Small nuclear RNA from Protopterus annectens (West African lungfish), 156 nucleotides. RefSeq annotates it as U1 spliceosomal RNA. The transcript has a single exon. NCBI's taxonomy places the organism in Eukaryota, Metazoa, Chordata, Ceratodontiformes, Protopteridae. The record is from RefSeq and is a predicted model, not a curated record.
AUAUUUACUUGGCAGGGGGAAUAUCACUCUAGAGAAGGUGGUUUCCUCUGGAUAAGGCUCUUUCAUUGCAAACUUCAGCUGGGCUGACCCCUGUGAUUUCCCUAAAUGUGGUAAACAUAGCUGAAUAAUUUAUGGUGUGCUGCCUUUUAGCUCGGC